Dama dama (fallow deer) is the source of this 3297-nucleotide long non-coding RNA. RefSeq lists it as uncharacterized. The record is from RefSeq and is a predicted model, not a curated record. The transcript has 3 exons. Lineage: Eukaryota; Metazoa; Chordata; Mammalia; Artiodactyla; Cervidae.
GAAAGUGAAAAUUAAAAGUCAGCAUCUUUACCUCUACAAAUUCUCAAACUGUAUCAUUAAAACUAGGAGAAAGUGGAAGUGAAACUGUGUAAUGAAAACAGGAAUUUAUGGAGAGUGAGGGAGGGGGAAUUGGAGGAAGGUGGUCAAAAGGUACACACUUCCAGUUUAAGGCAAAUAAGUACUGGGGAUGUAAUGUACAGCAGGCUGACUACAGCUAACACUGCUGUGUGCUAUGGAAAGCUGCUCAGAGUAAAUCCUAAGACCUCUCCCCACAAGGAAAGGCUUUUUUUUCUUUUUAUUGUAUCUCCCUGUGGCCCUUGAACAACAGGGGUCUGAAAUGCAUGGGUCCUUGUAUAGAUGAAAUUUUUUUUCAAUAAAUACAUACUACAGUAUUGCACUAUCCAUGGCUGAUUCAAUCCACAGACGUAGAACCACACAUAUGGAGGGCCAACUGUAAAGUUGUGGAUUUCUGACUAGGCAAGGGUGGCGAAACCUUGGAUGCAACCCCAACUCUUGCAUCAUUCAAGGGCCAAGUGCAUAUGAGAAGACGGAUGUUAGCUGAACAUGUUGUGUCAGUCCCUUUAAAAUACAUGUAAAUCAAACCAUCAUGCUGUAUUCCUUAAACUUAUUCAGUAAUUAUGUCAAAUAUUUCUAUUAGAAAAAAAAUUUUUUUCACAGUACAAUCUCAUUAUUUUUAGCAACAGAUAUUUUGAAAUAUAAUUCACAUAAAAUUCAUCUUUUUAAAAUGUACAAUUCAGUAGUUCUUGAUACAGUCAGAGCUGUGCAAGCAUCACUAAUUCCAGAACAUCCUUACCACUCCAGAAAGAACGGAAGCCCCAUCGGCAGUGAGUCCCACUCCUCCGUCUCCCUGCCCCGGCACCCACUCAUCCGCUCUGUCCUCGUGGAUUUGUCUGUUUCUGGCGUUUCAUGUCAUGGAAUCGUAAGGUUAUUACUGAAAACUGAGCCGAGUUCCCUGUGCUAUACAUGAGCUGGCACAUUACUGUCAAGGUCUCAGAUCGAAGAAAAAUCAUCAGUUCUGACUGUACUCUUCAAAGUCAAGAAUAAAGGUCUAGGGACUUUGCUGGUGGUCCAGGGGCUAAGACUCCACGCUCCCAAUCCAGGGGGCCCAGGUUCGAUCCCUGUCAGGGAACUAGAUCCCACAUGCUGCAACUAAAGAACCUGCAUGCCACAACUAAAUAAAUACAUUAAAAAAAGAAUAAAGGUCUAAGAAAGCUGUAAGUGUUGCAAUUUCAUGACUCCACUGUCUACACACUCUAUCUAGUCUUGGAGACUAACUUCCUAAAACUCUAGAAAAACUAACAGUACUUGAAUGGAUCAAGCGAUGUGGAAGCGACUUCUUCCACAGAGUGCUAAUAAUCCUCCUGCAAACAUUCAACAGUCACUGAUAUUCUAAAAACAUAUAUUACAUGAUACAUGCUCAUCAGAAAAACUUGAAAAAUUGAAGAAGGUAUAUAUUAUAUAUAGACGCAAAGCCCCAAAGACCUAUAACUUUUAUUUUUCUAUUGUAAUAAUUAGCGCUACUGUUUCGAAAAGGGUUUCUGAAUGUUUGUUAAUUAAACCUAGCAUUUCUUUCAAAUUAACAGGUUAGUCCAAGAGUGCCUUCAAGGAACCUUUGGACACUGAUCAAAUGUGCUUUCUGUUUAAAAAUAUGACUACUGGGGACUUCCCUGGCAGGCCCGUGGUGAAAAGUUCCUCAUGUCCUCUUCCAAGGCAGGAGGUGAGAGCUCCACCCCUGGUCACAAAACAGAAAGGCUGUAACAAACUCUAUAAAGACUUCAUAGAUUUCCUGAUUUCUACACCAAUUUCAGUAACUACUUAAGGUCUGUUGUAUAACUACCUAAGGUCUGUCUGUACAAUGGUUGUUUUUUUCCCUGGAGAAACAAAAAAGACACUUUUUUGGAAGCUGAUAAAAAAAAAAAUCUGUCAAGAAAAGAUAUAUAUUCUUUUUGUGACACCGGUGUACGUCACUUUAGCCCCUGUGGACCUAAGUUUCCUCAUCGAUAAAAUGGGCAUGAUAAAUAAACCCUGUUCUACGAACGUCCAGAAUCAAUUGAGAGUAUAUGUGAAAAACACAACUUAAAAUGGUGUUACAACUAUUACUGCACUCUUAAUGAGCAUAUUCAGUAUCAUCAGUCUUCCUUUCCCUUUUCUUAGGAUUUCGUUUAUCUAUGGCAGUAGCUCUCUAGUUGCAGUGCAUAAGCUUCUCAUUGGGUGACUUCUCUAAGUGCCCAGCACGGCCCGGCGGGCGGCGGGGAGCGUGCUCAGUACUUGUGGCCCAUGGGCUUAAUUGCUCUGUGGCACGUGGGAUCUUCCACUAUCAAGGACCGAACCUGCGUCUCCUGCACUGGCAGGCAGAUUUUCUAACACAAAUAGUUGAAAUAAUGCACCUCAAAUUAACGGUAGUCGCAAAUACUAAUUCGGUUCAGGUAAUGAGGAUCAGCAAAACUUCACAGAGGCACAAGCUUACUGUAAAUCUAGAAGACUGCAAUAAUAAAAUACGGAGCAAAAUAACCCAGAGCAACACAGAAUAGAUGAGUUAGUACACAUUCUAAAACUGUAUCUGUGUUACUAGGAAGACAAUAAAAAGAAUCAAUGCUUGUGUGUCUACUUCUAAACAAACGGUUAAAAAACAAUCCACUUGCAACAAAUCAUUUCAUAUUAGAUUCUCCACUCCUAUGGCAUUAAAAAAAAUCCAAUUUAUAUAGACCUCAAAAGUUUACGUUUCAGGAACACACGAAAGCCAGUAACAGUGAACAUCAGGUGGUUUCUCUUUGUUGAUUACCGAUGACACAGCUUUCUUCCUGAAAGUCCACAACUAAUUACAAGCAAAACUGCCUGUCUUACGGCCCGUCUCUCUCCUCACCUACACACUAACUAUACGGGAGUUAAAGUCUCUCCAACUGGAGCACUCCGUCGGGGGCGCCAGCAGGCGACGGUGGGGGUCUGCGGGUGCCAACUCCGCAGGCGGCGCGGAGUCAGGCUCCACAGCGAGCAGGGCGGCCCUAGGGCCUGCUCGACCCGUCCCCUCGCCCCGCACAGGGGAGACGGCGGGGUUCAGCGCGUUUUGGGGGCGAGGCCGGGACAGUGCCUCCUGCAGGGGGGCCGGGAAAAGCCAGCGGUGGGGGUCAGGCCAAGUGUACUCCAAACGGACGGGGAAGCGCUGAGACGCCAGGGACUGGCAGCCGGGCCUCUCGGCGCCCGGAGGAAAGGCUGGGGGCCCCUGGGGUUGGAGGUAGGCCGGAGGGGGUGUCCCUGCUACAUCUCGGGCCCUCGCCU